Molecule: ribosomal RNA, 91 nt
Filed under: uncultured bacterium
Lineage: Bacteria
Description: partial 16S ribosomal RNA
Source: RNAcentral
UUAAACUCCUGUCAUUUGGGAACAAGGCUCUGAAGAGUAACUGCUUCGGAGUUGAUAGUACCAGAAGAGGAAGGGACGGCUAACUCUGUGC